GUGGGUCUUGUCCCGACUUCCAUCUUUAUCAGUUAGAGGCUUCAUAGAUAGUCAGUAUAGUUGAAAGGUCUGUAUUAUUCAUUUAUUUUGUUAAAUGUUUUAAAGACUAAAGUUGCCUUUUUAUGGCGAGUUGUAUAUAUUUUAUUAUACGUAGUUUUCUUUGGACUUAAAGUUUGAAUUUAAGUUUUAUGAACUUUUAUUUCA
This 204-nucleotide long non-coding RNA is filed under the name Solanum tuberosum (potato). RNAcentral describes it as "long non-coding RNA (STUB_LNC006164)". Lineage: Eukaryota; Viridiplantae; Streptophyta; Magnoliopsida; Solanales; Solanaceae. The record is from RNAcentral.